This is a small nuclear RNA of Erinaceus europaeus (western European hedgehog), 189 nucleotides long. Its record names the gene U2. It matches the Rfam family "U2 spliceosomal RNA". From Rfam's summary of the family: U2 is a small nuclear RNA (snRNA) component of the spliceosome (involved in pre-mRNA splicing). Complementary binding between U2 snRNA (in an area lying towards the 5' end but 3' to hairpin I) and the branchpoint sequence (BPS) of the intron results the bulging out of an unpaired adenosine, on the BPS, which initiates a nucleophilic attack at the intronic 5' splice site, thus starting the first of two transesterification reactions that mediate splicing. Lineage: Eukaryota; Metazoa; Chordata; Mammalia; Eulipotyphla; Erinaceidae. The record is from Ensembl.
AUCGCUUCUCGGCCUUUUGGCUGAGAUCAAGUGUAGUGUCUGUUCUUAUCAGUUUAAUACCUGCCACGUCCCCUAUCUGAGUACAUUAUAUAAAAUGGGUUUUUAGAGCGGCAGUUGGUUAGGGGCUUGCUCCGUCCGCUCCACGCAUUGACCUGAUAUUGCAGUACUUCCAGGGACGGUGCACCCCUU